This is a long non-coding RNA of Benincasa hispida (wax gourd), 676 nucleotides long. RefSeq lists it as uncharacterized. Lineage: Eukaryota; Viridiplantae; Streptophyta; Magnoliopsida; Cucurbitales; Cucurbitaceae. The record is from RefSeq and is a predicted model, not a curated record.
UCUUGAACUUGGUAUCAUAUAGACUAGAGGGGCAUUUUUGUAAUCUUAUACCGUGAUGACGAAAGUAAAGGGUCAACUAACAUUAUUUUUUAAAAAUGGGUCAUUUGGCAUUUUGGACCCAAAAAUUGGGUCAUCUGUAAAAAUUUCCCCUAUCUCUCUGUCUUCUCCUUCGUGCAGAACCCCUUCGCCUUUUUUGUUUUAUGUUUUUGCACUGCUUUAGUUGCCCAAGUCUCCGCCUGAUCUCUCUCCCUCGCCACCGACUCCAAGCACUGCCGAUCGAAGUUGGCCCAGCCCCAGUCGUGUCGGUUUUUCAUCGUUCACCACUUCCCCUCUAACUCCAGCAAACGAAGCCACACCGAUCACCAGCGACCAGCCCUACCCUCUGCUCGACACCCAAUUGGUCAUAUCUACAUUGUAGCUCGAUUCCAACCGCCGUCAAGAUCGGAUCUACACUCUCGUCGCCGCCGCCACUGGUUUCGUCGGAAUCUUGGUUUUGGGCGAUGUGAGUUGUAGGUGGUAGACGACGGCGUGGGGUGAAUUGAUGGCUCGGUACGAGGUGACACGAACAACUUAGGACAAAUCGAUGGCACGAACGGCGUGGGGCGAGUCGACGAUGAUAAGUUGAGCAAAUUUGAUCGACGGCACGACGGGGCGAGAAAAUUCGAUCAAUGACGAU